This 406-nucleotide ribosomal RNA is filed under the name uncultured bacterium. RNAcentral's name for it is "partial 16S ribosomal RNA". It matches the Rfam family "Bacterial small subunit ribosomal RNA", at positions 30 to 526 of the family's 1533-position model. The record is from RNAcentral.
AUUGAACGCUGGCGGCAGGCUUAACACAUGCAAGUCGAGCGAGCGGCGGACGGGUGAGUCAUGUCUGGGAACCUGCCUGAUGGAGGGGGAUAACUCCUGGAAACGGUAGCUAAUACCGCCUACCAUCAGCUUUGCCCAGAUGGGAUUAGCUAGUAGGUGGGGUAUUGGCUCACCUAGGCAACGAUCCCUAGCUGGUCUGAGAGGAUGACCAGCCAAACUGGAACUGAGACACGGGCCAGACUCCUACGGGAGGCAGCAGUGGGGAAUAUUGCACAAUGGGCGAAAGCCGGAGGCAGCAAUGCCGCGGGAGUGAAGAAGGCCUUCGGGUUGUAAAGCACUUUCAGCGAGGAGGCGUUACUCGCAGAAGAAGCACCGGCUAACUCCGUGCCAGCAGCCGCGGUAAUUC